GGUGAAGAACGCAGCGAAAUGCGAUAAGUAAUGUGAAUUGCAGAAUUCAGUGAAUCAUCGAAUCUUUGAACGCAUCUUGCGCUCCUUGGUAUUCUGAGGAGCAUGCCUGUUUGAGUGUCAUUAAAUUCUCAAGUACACUGACUUUGAAUUGGUGUGGCUUGGAUUUGGGGGGAAAAUUGUUGUGGGCUUUUUGUAUAGUCUGCUCCCCUGAAAUUGAUUAGCGGUACCUUUGUGGAACUGUCUACAGGUGUGAUAAUUAUCUACAUCUUAGACAUCUGCUGGAAUGCUGCUUUCUAAACCUUACUUGUAUUGACAAUCUUGACCUCAAAUCAGGUAGGACUACCCGCUGAACUUAAGCAUAUCAAUAAGCGGAGGA
This 376-nucleotide unclassified non-coding RNA is filed under the name soil metagenome. Its description in RNAcentral is "partial contains 5.8S ribosomal RNA, internal transcribed spacer 2, and large subunit ribosomal RNA". The stretch from base 3 to 120 matches the Rfam family "5.8S ribosomal RNA", at positions 37 to 154 of the family's 154-position model. The record is from RNAcentral.